Long non-coding RNA from Helianthus annuus (common sunflower), 2104 nucleotides. RefSeq lists it as uncharacterized. The record is from RefSeq and is a predicted model, not a curated record. NCBI's taxonomy places the organism in Eukaryota, Viridiplantae, Streptophyta, Magnoliopsida, Asterales, Asteraceae. The transcript is spliced from 10 exons.
UCACUCGCUUUCUAAACCCUAAUUCAUUUCGUCCAGCCGCUCCUCCUUUCUCUCUCUGGUGAUUUUCAAUUUAGGGUUUCUUGCCUCCUUUGGAAUAAGCAAGAUCUCACCAGAUCCAUCAAUGGUGUGGUCUGUAAAAGUAGUAGAGGCAAGUUCCAACAACCCGAGAUCUAGAGUUUUAAUUUCAUAUCUGAGAUCUCGUGAUUCAACAACAGGCAGCGGCUAGGGUUCUGACCAUGACCACCUGAUCCGUUGUAUAAGGAGCUACGGAAGGCUUGUGCAGGGCCAUUAGUGGAUGUUCCAAGAGACGGAGAGAGGGUUUUCUACUUUCCACAGGGUCAUAUGGAACAAUUGGAAGAAUCUAUGAAUCAGGAAUUAAAUCAAAGGAUUCCUCACUUUAACCCAAAAUCAAAGAUUCUUUGUUGUGUUGUUCAUACUCAGCUAUUGGUAUAUAAUUUUUUGUUUUUCAGCCUCAUAACUGGUUAACUGACAAGGUGAGUUUUUUGUUAUAUUAUUUUGGCAUUUUUUAAAGUGAUUAUAAAUCGCUCUGUUAAUAUUCAAAUAUCAGCAGUUUAUAUUUGCUCCUGGUCUUAUUGGACGAAAAUGACAUUUUACUCUCUCUUAUUUUUCUUUGAUUUUAUUUAUUUCUAAUGAAUUAAUUUUGUUUGUAUGAUUUGAUAAAUCUUGAUGAAUGUGAAUUAUGAUACCAUAGAAUGAAAAAAAAUGGUAUAAUUUAGGGAAAUCUUAUGUAUUGAAAUAUUGUAAUUUAUAGGGUGAUAAUGUUGAUUGUCGCAAUGGUGUUUGGAGACUACAAGGUUCACUAGCAGUAUCAAGAGCGAUAGGAGACAAUCAUCUCAAGAAUUGGGUGAUUUCAGAACCGGAAAGUCGGAAACAUGAGUAAUCAACAUUAGACCUGAGUGCGAGUUUUUAAUCCUUGCUUCUGAUGGGAUUUGGGAUACGGUAAGCAGCCAAGAAGCAAUCGACAUUGUUCACCCCUUUUGCAUAGGAACUGCUGUCCCCGGGUUGCCUGCGCCCGGAGCUUGAUUCCGCGUUUGGCUUAUUUCGUUUGGUUAUGGGGUUGGUAUUCUGUCCCUGUCUUGAUGGAAAUUGGCUGCUGGGUUUGGCUUCCGAGUUGCAACGUCUGGGUUCGGGUUUAUCGCAUUGGCAGUUUGCUGCUGUGUUGGGCCACCUGUUUCAGCUUCGUUGAAGGCCUAGGAGGUUAUAAGGGUAAUAAAGAAGGAUAUGAAAUUCCGGCUGGUACUGAUUUAUUUAUUUCAGUGAGUGCUCAACUGUAACUUUGUCAUUUCUAUAUUGCCAAGAAUCCUUCAGAAGUCGCGUAUUAGAUUCGUGAUAUUUAACGUCUUAUUAUUUUUUGACAAAAUUAUGCUAAAGAAGUAACUAGACUUCGAAAAACGCCAUACCAAACCAGCCAGGUUGGGUGCGUCAGCUGGUUUUGCAGUUCAGUUUCAAACGGUUUAUACUCCAGCUUAUCGUUUCAGGGUGGUUAUAGUAGUGUGAUUUUAGGAACCCAAAAAAUGUGGUAUAUAUACUUUCCUUUUUUUGCUGGCUUGGAUGAUGAUUAUAUGAGGCACAAUUUUCAGGCGAGGCGCAACCAUACCGCUUUGUGCCGUCAAAGGCACUCUUCUGAAGGAGGUUUGGAGUGCUUGAUAUGAUACAAGCUGCAGAGUCUUUAACCAAGCUAAAGGCAAGAUGUGACUUGUGUGGAAAGCGCGUUUCUUUUACGUUAAAGAAGACAGACGAAACUGAGAGAGAACAGGUUGCUGGUGCAGAUGUAUACAUUCACAGACAUCACUAUGCAAGUGGUCAAGUGCUCAAAGAGACUGCAAAAGCUGCUCUUCAAACACACACGACUCAGUGUGGUUCAUUGUAUUACGUAUUCACAUGCCGUUUUCAAGCAUUAAUGUAACAGGUUUGGGUUGAACAUUAGAACUUAGAUUCAACCAACCAUUUUAACGAGGUUUUAUUUACAAUAUGGUUUUAGUUCAAAGUUUUGUUGGCGUUUUCUUGUCGGACAUGAAACACGAUCUAUCACGGUUCCGGCUAAGAAAAGCUUGGCUUGAAAAGUAGACAUCAAAUUUUGGCA